AGCAUAUCAAUAAGCGGAGGAAAAGAAACCAACAGGGAUUGCCCCAGUAACGGCGAGUGAAGCGGCAACAGCUCAAAUUUGAAAUCUGGCCUCGGCCCGAGUUGUAAUUUGCAGAGGAAGCUUCUGGUGCGGCGCCGUCCGAGUCUCCUGGAACGGAGCGCCAUAGAGGGUGAGAGCCCCGUAUGGACGGAUGCCAAACCUGUGUGAAGCUCCUUCGACGAGUCGAGUAGUUUGGGAAUGCUGCUCAAAAUGGGAGGUAAAUUCCUUCUAAAGCUAAAUAUUGGCCAGAGACCGAUAGCGCACAAGUAGAGUGAUCGAAAGAUGAAAAGCACUUUGAAAAGAGGGUUAAACAGCACGUGAAAUUGUUGAAAGGGAAGCGCUUGUGACCAGACUUGAGCGCGGCGGAUCAUCCGGUGUUCUCACCGGUGCACUCCGCCGUGUCCAGGCCAGCAUCAGUUUCCGCGGGGGGACAAAGGUCCCGGGAACGUAGCUCCUCCGGGAGUGUUAUAGCCCGGGGCGCAAUGCCCCCGCGGGGACCGAGGACCGCGCAUCUGCAAGGAUGC
This 563-nucleotide ribosomal RNA is filed under the name uncultured fungus. Its description in RNAcentral is "eukaryotic LSU rRNA". It matches the Rfam family "Eukaryotic large subunit ribosomal RNA", at positions 37 to 626 of the family's 3401-position model. The record is from RNAcentral. Lineage: Eukaryota; Fungi.